RNAcentral lists this ribosomal RNA (497 nucleotides) under uncultured bacterium. RNAcentral describes it as "partial 16S ribosomal RNA". It matches the Rfam family "Bacterial small subunit ribosomal RNA", at positions 28 to 507 of the family's 1533-position model. The record is from RNAcentral.
GAUGAACGCUGGCGGCGUGCCUAAUACAUGCAAGUCGAGCGAACAGACGAGGAGCUUGCUCCUCUGACGUUAGCGGCGGACGGGUGAGUAACACGUGGAUAACCUACCUAUAAGACUGGGACAACUUCGGGAAACCGGAGCUAAUACCGGAUAAUAUAUUGAACCGCAUGGUUCAAUAGUGAAAGACGGUUUUGCUGUCACUUAUAGAUGGAUCCGCGCCGCAUUAGCUAGUUGGUAAGGUAACGGCUUACCAAGGCGACGAUGCGUAGCCGACCUGAGAGGGUGAUCGGCCACACUGGAACUGAGACACGGUCCAGACUCCUACGGGAGGCAGCAGUAGGGAAUCUUCCGCAAUGGGCGAAAGCCUGACGGAGCAACGCCGCGUGAGUGAUGAAGGUCUUCGGAUCGUAAAACUCUGUUAUUAGGGAAGAACAAAUGUGUAAGUAACUAUGCACGUCUUGACGGUACCUAAUCAGAAAGCCACGGCUAACUACGUG